RNAcentral lists this ribosomal RNA (432 nucleotides) under uncultured bacterium. Its description in RNAcentral is "partial 16S ribosomal RNA". It matches the Rfam family "Bacterial small subunit ribosomal RNA", at positions 29 to 506 of the family's 1533-position model. The record is from RNAcentral.
AACGAACGCUGGCGGCAUGCCUAACACAUGCAAGUCGAACGAGACCUUCGGGUCUAGUGGCGCACGGGUGCGUAACGCGUGGGAACCUGCCCUUAGGUUCGGAAUAACUCCCCGAAAGGGGUGCUAAUACCGGAUAAUGUCUUCGGACCAAAGAUUUAUCGCCUUUGGAUGGGCCCGCGUUGGAUUAGCUAGUUGGCAGGGUAAAAGCCUACCAAGGCGACGAUCCAUAGCUGGUCUGAGAGGAUGAUCAGCCACACUGGGACUGAGACACGGCCCAGACUCCUACGGGAGGCAGCAGUGGGGAAUAUUGGACAAUGGGCGAAAGCCUGAUCCAGCAAUGCCGCGUGAGUGAUGAAGGCCUUAGGGUUGUAAAGCUCUUUUACCCGGGAUGAUAAUGACAGUACCGGGAGAAUAAGCUCCGGCUAACUCCGU